AUGAGAAUAUGUCAGAAACCAGCAGUUUUACACUGGAUCUUGUACCAACGAUGAAGGGCGGCAAGGACCGGGAGGAGGAGGCACAGCGUUCUCUCCUGAGCGUAAAGCUGGCUCUUGGUGUUGCUUUACUGCAAUUACCACUUGCAGUAAAUGAUGAUGAUGAUUGUUAUUCUCUUCCUUCCAGAGAGUAAGAGGGAGAGAAUACAGUCUGAGUGGU
This is a non-coding RNA of Otolemur garnettii (small-eared galago), 217 nucleotides long. NCBI's taxonomy places the organism in Eukaryota, Metazoa, Chordata, Mammalia, Primates, Galagidae. The record is from Rfam.